GUAGCUGAGGCAAUUAAGUAAAAAUACAAAAGGCCAUCCAAGUACACAUUUCAAGUCAAACAUUCAUGGUCAUUCACAUCAAGUGCAUACUGCAUAGGCAGUCUAGAGUUUUGAACCAUACAACAGAACUAGUCAUUACAGAGCAUAUCAGGGACGCAUUCUUGUAUAUCAGGAUCAAACGAUAACACGGACACAAUGCCGUUGCCCCAGCAACCUGCUUCUGGUAUUAGUGUAACAGCAUAGAAUGUGAGGCCCGGAGGACGCGCCAAAUCCAUGUAUGCGAUUCAUCUCUUCUUAAAACCAUACUUCUUGCGCUCGUAGAAGAGAUCGGUCUUGGCGCUUCCUAGGUUGACAAUCUUGGGGCACCCAUCUCGAUCGGAGGGUACCUGUAUAUUCAAAUUUGCAUCCCUAAUGGACACAACACUACCAUAAGGACGAUUGGACUGGCCGACGAGCUAAGAGCAUCUCUAGUCGAUCCCGUAUAAUGCUCCAACCCGUAAAAUAAUCGUCAAAACACUUCUGCUUCGGUACACCACCCUUAAACACAUCAAGGACUGAGAUUCACCCAUACCCUUUCGCUGCCAGGGGACGAUCGUCUUAAGUAAAAAAAAUUGCCCCCGCGCGCCCGUCUAUACGCGGCUGCGGGACGAGCCGAGCUGCUUGGCAAUCGUGAGGGCGCGAGCCGAGCCGAGCAGUUGGCAGCCGUGAGGGCGUGUUUUUUUUAAAAAAAAAAGUCCGCGCUGACCGGUGGGGCGUACGUGUGGACGUGGCGCAGACGGACGUACCGUCGUGCAUUAACUGCUUUGCAGUUUUGGCGGCGCGCAUGCAGGCGCCGACUGCACGCGGCAGAUCUCGUGCCGCCCGCGCCCUCCACUGCCGCGCGUGCGGGCGACCGGGCGCCUGCCGCCAGCAUGGUAGCUUCGUAGUCCGCGCCGUUCACUGCCGCGCGUGCGGCGACCGNNNNNNNNNNNNNNNNNNNNNNNNNNNNNNNNNNNNNNNNNNNNNNNNNNNNNNNNNNNNNNNNNNNNNNNNNNNNNNNNNNNNNNNNNNNNNNNNNNNNNNNNNNNNNNNNNNNNNNNNNNNNNNNNNNNNNNNNNNNNNNNNNNNNNNNNNNNNNNNNNNNNNNNNNNNNNNNNNNNNNNNNNNNNNNNNNNNNNNNNNNNNNNNNNNNNNNNNNNNNNNNNNNNNNNNNNNNNNNNNNNNNNNNNNNNNNNNNNNNNNNNNNNNNNNNNNNNNNNNNNNNNNNNNNNNNNNNNNNNNNNNNNNNNNNNNNNNNNNNNNNNNNNNNNNNNNNNNNNNNNNNNNNNNNNNNNNNNNNNNNNNNCGCUGCGGCGAUCGCCCGCACGGCACCGACGCUUCCACUGUCGCGCCUGCCGUCCUCGCGCCUUCCCACGCCACCGAUCCCUCGCCUGCCGCGCCGCGCCUUCACACGCCACCGCUGCUUCGCUUUCACACGCCACCGCGGUCGCGCGUGCCGCCAGCCGCCCGCCUCUCCCUCGGGGCGCACGCCACCGACGGCUCGCCCGCUCACCUCCCUCCCCUGCCGUCUAUAAAAGGCCACGCCAGCCCUCACCACGCCGUGCCAUCUCCCUUCCUCUCCUCGCCCGCCCAUCUCCCUCUCCUCGCCGGCAAUGUCUUCCAGCGACUCCGACAAGGGCGCGUGGUCGACCGGCGUCUGGCCGCUGAGCCUCACCGUCGGCGACACGGAGGAUCUGGCCCGGUUCGGCCUGAUGGUGCCGCCGGCAGCCAAAGUGCCGCGGCCGUGGCGGAUCGGGGGGGACGGCAUCCCCACCAUGGGACCGCCGCCGACGAGGCAGCAGCUCCACGCGUUCCUAGGCGGCCGCUACAACCGGAGGGCCCGGCGCAGGUGGUGGCGCAGGAAGAACUUCGACAUUGUCCUCGGCGCGUUCAGGGAUGCGGCGGCCGGCCGCACCGUCGGGGACAUUACCGGCGAGGCCGGCACUUCCCGUGGUCGCCGCCGGCACGGCCCACCUCCAGCCGCCCCCACCGCCCUAGCACAGCAGGCGCCCCCUGACCCGGCGCUGGUCGAGAUCCCGCCGGCGCAGGCCGCCCUCGCGCAAGACGGAGACCCCGACGACACGCCAGGGCUACUUGCGGUGCUGGCCCAGUCGGCAGAGGAGGCGGCGGCGGCGGCCACUCGUGAGGAACGAGAGCGGCUGGCGGCCAUAGCGGCGGUGCAGGAGCAGCAAGCGCGGGAAGACAACUGGUGGGAUUUCAGCAGCAACGACGACGACGACGACGACGACAGUGACGGCGACGGCGGCGAAGGAGAGGCCGGCAGUAUGGCGCCGGUCGUCGACCUCACCGGCGGCAGCGACGACGAGUAGUCUAGUUUUAGGGUUUUUAUUUAAAUUUCGGUUUAAGUUAUGUAAGAGCAGUGCUCUGUUAUGUUUAGUGUUGUGUAAGGUAGUUUGAAUGAUGAAUGAACUCGGAAUGGCUUAUCUGAAGAAAAAAACGUAUGUUUAAUUUGAUGUUAGUCGUGCAACUUCAAAAAAUAACAUGCAUUUCAACGUUACGAGAAAAAUCAGUGCUCGGUUACGCAUGCAUGGGGCCUUCACUCAUACUCGAAUGGUCUCUGAAAAAUUCUUAAAGCAAUAAAAAAGCCAGAAAACUUUUCAUGCAUCCUAAUGAUGAUGGUGGAACAGUAUAAAAAAAUGUGGGUACAUUUGAAGGCUGUCGGAAAAAACUCCUUUCAGACGGGGCCUUCGGUCCUGCCCAAACGGGGUCUGGAGAAGGAGGCCAACUUGUCGACAUAUUCGGAAAAAUUAUAGAACAUUCAUAAAGCGAUGAAAAAUACAAAAAACCUGGCAUGCAUCCUACUGAUACUGGUAGAACACUAUAAGAAAAAUUUCUAGAAGGACAGAAAACAAUUAUAAGAAAAAUUUAUAGAAGGAAAUAAAAACAAUGGUAAAAAAAUUGCCUACUGUGCUUGCAGGCCACAACUGUGCUUAAUCGGUCCGGCCCGAUCAAGCCGGGCGGCGAAACGGCCGGCCUUUCAGCCCAGCUACGGCCUGCAGCACAGUCAAUCGGGGCAGUGGCGGGACGGGGCAGGAAUCAGAGGAGUUCGAAAGGGAGGUGGGAGGCAGGUAUAUAAGGCGGUCGCGGCGUCGUUCGGCGGGCGAGGUGGGACUAAACUUUAGUCCUCACCCCCGCCGACCCUGCCCCCGCACCGCGCAGAGUCAAUGGGCCGGCCCACGCGUGCCGUCGCGCACUCUCACUGUGCCGGCCAAUGCACGCUGUCGAAGACUUUUUUGUUUUUUGUUUUAAAAAUAAUAUUAAUAAAACUCCAUACGUAAUAUAGAAUUGUUAACUAUAUUUAUUACAAUUUAUAGGUAAAAAUAAUCGGUAUUUUUUUAAUAAUUUAUGAGUUUUGUGUAAAUGCCUAACAUUUUGCAGCUUAUUAAAACUUAUUAAUUAGUUUAUUGAUAUAACUAAUAAUUUGGAAAGGGCAGUUUCAUAAAAAACUGUACUUGACAUAGAAUUAUUUAAGUAGUUAAAUUAAAAACAGUACUUAAUACAUAAUUCAUUAAGUAAUUAUAUUAAAAAGAGUACUUAAUAGGGAAUUUAUUUCGUGUUGAAAAUAUACAUAUGAAAAAUUUACUAUUGUUAUUUCUGCGCGAAUUGACAAGCUUAUAUUAAAAAAUAAGAUAGUAAUAAUGUCAGUUGACUUUAGUUAAAGUCACAUGACAUUAUUACUACCUAUUUCAAUAAAUAUCUGAAAGGCGGCUAUAUAAGCCAGUCCUGGCAUCCCUGGGCGCGCGAGGUUGAACAAAAAAGCGCCCCUUCCACCUCUCCCCGCGCCGUGAAUUGUAGAAUAAAAAAAAUUGAUGCCAAAAAAAAAGCCCACCUGUGCUUGCACGCCGCAACUGCGCUUAAUCGGUCCGGCCCGAUCAAGCCGGGAAGCGAAAGGGCCAGCCUUUCGGCCCAGCUACGGCCUGCAGCACAGACCAACGGGGCAGAGGCGGGGCGGGGCGGGAAUCAGAGGAGUUCGAAACGGUGGUACCAGCUUGGUAUAUAAGCAGGUCGCGGCGUGGUUCGGCGGGCGAGGUGGGACUAAACUUUAGUCCUCACCCCGCCGACCCUGCCCCCGCACCGCGCGCAGAGUCAAUGGGCUAGCCCACGCGCGCCGUCGCGCACUCUCACUGUGCCAUCGCGCACAGUCAAGACUUUUGUUUUGUUUUUUUUAAAUAGUAUUAAGUUUUUUAGUUAUUUAUGCCUGUCUUAUAGUAUACAAAAAUUCUAUAAUUAAUAAAAAACCAUACGUAAUAUAGAAUUGUUAACUAUAUUACUUAUAAUAAUAAUGAGUUGUUUAUUUAAAUUUAUACGAGAAACUAAUGAGUAUUUUAUAAGUAAUUGCUAAAACAAUAAUGAGUUUUUUGAUAAUAAAAUGAUAAUGAGUUUUUUUGUAUAGAAUUUUGAAAUAAGUUAUUUGUGUAGAUUAGUAAUUACAUGUUUAAUAUUUAUGUAAUGUUAAUUAAUGUCUAAAAUAUAUUUAAAAUAUAUGCAAAGUUUAGUACUGUAAUGUGUUGCAUUAACGGCUAAAUGUGUUUACAUAAUAAUAAUGCGUUGUUUUUUUAAUUUAUAAGUAAGAAUAAUGAGUUUUUUGUAAUGUGUUUUCGGUGCGUUUCACGGAGACCAAACGCACGUUGCGUCACGCCCGGUCAGUGUUUUCGGUGCGUUUCACGGAGAAAAUCAUAGGAAAUUCAUAUGGUGUCAGAAAAUUAUGAAAACUUGCAGGCAUGAUGGCCCUGCCGAUGAGUGCGUGUGGAAAAAGUGUGGGGUCCACUGGCUGAGUAAGAAAAGAGAACGCGGUUCGGGGCUAACAUCGUUCAUAUCCGAUCAGUGCCGGUUGCAUGGGAGGUACGAGGUGGCACCCACGAAAGGUCACCCAAAUUUGGGAAGCAGUGGGCAUACCCAUCUUAGGGCCCCACGCAAAAGUUGAACGAAUUCGGACACCAAACGCACGUUGCGUCACGCCCGGUCAGUGUUUUCGGUGCGUUUCACAGAGAAAACCAUAGUUGGGAACCCCUCCCCGGCAGACCGAGAGGUAGGUGGUUGCACUGGGGCUACGUGAUGGCAACGUGUGGAAAAAGUGUCGUGACAUUUGACGGAGUAGAAAAAAAACCGUAGUUGGGAACCAUAUUUAAAAAAAUUUGUUUUCCGUUUGAAGUUAAAAAAAUAAACAAAAUGACAAAAUAAACAUAUUUCAUACUGUAAUGUGACUUUACCCACUGCCGGGCAGUUCACUUCCAGACAGUGUACUGCCAGGCAGUUAAGUAAAGCCAUAUCACAAUAUAAGAUAUGACCAUGCAUGGACUACCGGAGGCGGCUAUAUAAACUGGUGUGGACAUCCUUCGGCCGCCGAGGUUGGACUAAAUUAGAAUGGCUGCCGCACGCCAAGGAGUGACAGAAGCGACGCGGGCCCGACCGAAUCUAUGACCUGGACUGCGUGCACUGGCCGGCACAGCUAGAGUGCGCGAAGGCGCGCGUGGGCCGGCCCAUUGACUCUGCGUGCGGUGCGGGGGCAGGGUCGGCGGUGGUGAGGACUAAAGUUUAGUCCCACCUCGCCCGCCGAACGACGCCGCGACUGCCUUAUAUACCUGCCUCCCACUACCAUUUCGAACUCCUCUGAUUCCUGCCCCGCCCUGUCUCUGCCCCGUUGGUCUGUGCUGCAGGCCGUAGCUGGGCCGAAAGGCCGGCCCUUUUGCCGCCCGGCUUGAUCAGGCCGGACCGAUUACGUGUAGCUGCGGCCUGCAACCACGGUUGGGCUUUUUUUUCUUGCAUCACUAUUUUUUUGCCUUCUAUGAGUCACGGCACGGGGGGAGGUCGGAGGGGCGCAUCACUAUUUUUUUGCAUCAGUAUUUUUUUCAUCACUUUAUGGAAAAAAAUAGUAAGUUCUUUAUAAUUAGUUACUAUAACAAUACUAAGUUUGGGGUCCAUCGGGUAACGUUAAAAUGGUUGCAUUAAAAAAUUGCAUUAAUAAUUUCUGACAUUAAAAAAACAUCGAGGAUAAUGGCUUUCUUUUUGAAGAAUAUGCAUGAUCCAUGUGAACCUUCACAAGCUCUCAGCAGAUGAAGACUCACAUCGAUCCUGCAUAUCCACCAAAUAGAGUCCCACAAACCGAGAUGUUUGUGCAUUGACCGAAAGAAAAUUAUAUAAGGAAGUCAACGACGCUCUGGCUUAGCGAUGUGGUAUUAAACUACAAUGCAUGUUUGUAAUAAAUGCAUCGUGGGCCAGCCGACGGUGGUUUUACGGGACGGGCCAACUGGCCCACUAUGGCGUGACCACGUCGAUGACACCGUACGUGCGUGCAUGGCAUGGAAACCAAGCCGCCAUUACCUCGCCCCAGGACCGCCUAGCCCCGCCGCCUCCACGCACGUCCUCACCCGUCCCCGAUCCGACGGUCGCACCGCUGUGGCCGUCCAAACUCCCUUCCCUGCCGGCCUGACGGCGGCCAUACAAUCCGUCAUCUGCGCGCGCGACUUGGAUCUCUGGCCCGGCCGUGCCGUCUGGGCAAAUUCGCCGGCACCCUAAACCCUAGGAAGGGCAGUCGGCCAUCGCGCUCGUGUGGGCAGAGGGUGCACGGCUGCCAUGACUAACCGACCCCGGGUGGGGUUUGGCAACGAGGGCUGCCGGUGCUCAUCGAGACGCCGGAAGGUAUGGUAUCUCAUUAAACUAUAGGUAAUCUUUUUUCAAUCUCGUAACUAGUUAGAUAACUGGCAUCUUAUUUAGAAUGCAAGAAUUGGGAGAUGUGUACUGCUCGGUUGAGAAGUGGUGCGAAUUGGUGGGAAAAUUCACACCCAGACAGCGCAUGAUGUUACGUGGCACAAAUUUGGACUGUAUGCUGAGAAUUCCUUCCGUGAAAAUGAGGAAAAAUUUAUUGGAAUUUAUGAUUACAACGUAUGACAGAACUGGAAAGCGAUUUAUUAUUCGGCCAAAUACUGAUGGCAUCAGUGUGCUUAAUGAAGAUGUUUACGACAUAUUCGGGCUACGUAACGAGGGUGAUGAUGUCAGUAGCAUGAUAGCAACAGUACAACUAGAUGCAAAAAAAUGUGUUCCGAAUCAGUUUCUAGACAAAAGAACAGGCCUAAUCCUCAUCGUUGAGUUGAUAAAAAAUAUUGUUGAUACUCAGUCAUAUGAUGAUGAUUUUGUUAGAAGGGCCGUACUGGUUCUUAUGGGUACAGUCUUAGCACCACAAUCCAUCAAGUUUGUUCCUUAUCGUUAUUACAAAAUGGUGGAGGACGUGAAUGCUAUCAAGUCAUACAAUUGGAACGAUUUCACGUUGCGGGUGUGCAUGGAUGCUAUUAAAAAAUCGGUCUAAGAUCUUGAAAAAUUCAAGUGUCCUAUCGGGAACUUGGCUCUUCUUCAGGUACAAUUCAUUUCGUAAUAGUUGUAUGUACUCCCUCCGUUUCUUUUUAGUCUGCAUAUAAGGUUUGGUCAAAGUCAAGCUUUACAUAGUUUGACUAACCUUAUAUUAAAAAAUAUCAACAUUCGCAAUAUGAAAUCAACAUUUUCAAAUGCAACAUGAAAUGUAUUUACAUAUUAUAUAGUUUAAGUAUUGUAGGUGUUCAUAUUUUUUAAUAUAAAUUUGGUCAAAAUUUGUGUAGUUUGACUUUGACCAAAACUUAUACGCGGAGUAAAAAGGAACGGAGGGAGUACAUAUAAUUUUUAUGUGAUUUAUGUGUCUGACUAGUUGUGUUUACUAUCAUACAGUAUAUAUACUGGGAAAAAGUUGAGCCAAUUGGUGUGGAUACAUUUGAUCCUUUGUCUAGUGAAUACCCACUAAUGGUUAACUGGCAAGAAACGGAAGGGAAAAAGAGAGACCACUAUGACAACAUGCACGGGCGUGGCACCAGCAAUGUAAGUCAAUAAGUAUAGUUCUUAUUGGUUGCACAUAGUAAUUAACUGUAGUUGUUAUAUAAUUUAUUUAUUUUUAUGUUGUAUAGCUUGAAAACUGCGUUAGCGAAGAGUACAGACGUGCUAAGGUAGCACGUGAAGGGACUGUCACAGAUGAAGAAACGAAGAAACCUAAACGGAAAGGUGGUGGCAGGAGUAGAAAGCCAAGCACGCCAGGGGUUUCAUCGAACAUGACUAACAGUAUGGACCGUGUGAUGACAUACAUUAAGCUGCUUCACAAGGAGGUUCUCAAUAUACCCGAAAGAUGUGCACAGGUAAUUUAGAAGUUAUACUAAACAUGUUUUAGUUCUUCAAGUACUUAUCGUGUUUCAUUUGUGUUUGUAGAUGGUAAUGGAAAAGUUGAACACGGAAGGUGUGCUGUACAAACCCAAUAAGAGGGACACCAAUGACGAAUUUGAUAAUGUAGGUGAAGGAGUUGGGAUGGAGAAUGGCCAGUACAAGUCAUCAAAAUAUUGGCCAGAUAUUGAUUCACCUACCGACGUGGAGCUAGUAACAUCUUUCAUGGGUUUCAAUGAUACCUACGUGCCCGUUGAUGACACGGGUGCUCCGGCGACGACACCGGGUAGAGGUGACGCUACUGAUCCUUUCAUUAUAGACGAUAAUGCAAAGUCUCCUUGUUCGUCAUCAACUGUAUGUACAAAAGAGUUUCCGUCCAUGUCCUGAACCCCGCAGAAUGCCGAUAUUUCUGGUGAGUCUAUGGGUGGUUUGUCACCAACAAAGUCUGAAGACAAGUAUGAGAGUCUCCCGGCAAAGAGCAACAUAGGUAAUGGUGAAGGCAGUCAGGACAAUGAAGGUAAACGCAAACGAAAUCCGUCGAAAUAUUGUCAAUCCCCGUACGACCUUCUCAUUACCCGCAAGAAACAUGUUAAAAAAGGUAAGUCAAGUACUACUUUAUAAUUCAUUCACGCGUUAUGUAUAUUUUUUAUUAUUUUUAAUGACUGUACCUGCAUUGAUUUAGAUCUGUUUGCAUCGUCACCUCAUUCAAUUCUGGCUAGUUCCCUUAAUAUGACUCCGGAUCACAUAGAGGCAGCCAGAGUUUUUGUUGAGACUCUCGCAUCGACAAAGAAGCAUGCACACCGAACCGUGGUCGAUAUGCCGCCACCAGAUGGGGACAUAUGCACGCUAGCUAUGCUUCACGAUCCUGACGUUUAAAUGGUUGAAUGGCGCUGUAAGUAUGAGUUUGGUUUUAACAAAACUCUUAUUUGUACUUCACAAGUUGAUAGAAUUUUUUUGUUUAUGUAUGCAGAUAAUCAAUACAUAUUGUAAACACCUACAACACCGUGAUUUCUCUGACCGUUUCAUAUAAACAACGUGGUUCCCCAAAUUUAUGUUGGGUAGGGCUAGGGGAAAGACCAAGUCAAUUAAUGAUUUGGAUUCAGAACAAGUUACAAAGAAAUCAAAAGUCCUCGCAAGAGUAAUGGAUGAGUAUUUCAGACGGGACAAGGUAUUCCUUUCAUAUUUAUUUGUUUUUGUUAGUCAUUACUAUUUAAUUGCACUAACAUCAUUUUAUUAUUAUAUAGGCGUAUUUUCCUAUGCACGUUAAUGAUAAUCAUUGGAUAACCAUAGUGAUGCACACCGUCAAGGAUGAGUUUCAAGUUCUUGACUCAAAUUCGAAAGGCGCAAUUAGCCAAAGAAUUCGCAAUAUGAUUGCCACCCUGGUACGCCAUAAUUUUCACACUCGCAUUCAAAAAAUUAUUGAGUCAUACAUUAAUUUCUGGUUUGUUAAUUUGUUUCAGAGAGCUGAAAUUUCUAAGGAUAUUAUGGAGGCCAACUCUAUUCUUGAAUUAAAAAAAAUCCAGAUGUCUCAUCGUGGCCAAUUAAUGAGUAUAAAAUGCCGAGACAACAUGAUGGGUAAGUUAAAUGAGUACAAGAAAGUGCAUGCUAUAUCCUAAACUGAUCACACAUGUUUAUUGCAGAGUGUCUUGUGGACUUUUUGUGAUGUGGUGCAUAAAAUACUGGGACGGAGAUCGUUGGACACAUGAAUUUGACCAGCAAGAGAUUAAUGAGUCAAGGCCACGUAUUGUCGCGGAAAUCAUUUUUUCUGAGGUCAACAGAUUAGACAAAGUGAAGAUGAAAAUUGUUAAAAUCAUGGAGAAGGAGUAGGUAUUAGCAUCGGUAGGGUUUUAGUCCCGUAGAAGGUUUCCCUACCGUUGUUGGAUACUUUGAUCGAUUGUAAUGCGACAUGGCACUGGGAUAGAUUUCGACAACUUUUCACGUUUUAUUUAUUGCUUUCGUGAGAAACUACACAUUUAAAUGCGUGUGGGCAAGUAAUAUUUUUUCUGUCCUAAAAUGUAUCAGUUUGCCUCUGCGAUAUUACAUGUACUGUUGUUGUUGUUCCUACUCGCGGCGGUCAUUUUUUUAUUAAAAAAUAUGCCCGCCGUCCUGAGUUGGUGCGAUGUGGAUAAAACCUGCACAAUUUCCCACGUUGAUUCUGGUGGCAGCAGCGGCGCUGGAUCCGACGAAUAUUCCAGCCCGUGCGGUGGCCGACAGCCGAGGCAGUGGCGGGCCCACGAAGUUGAGCUAGUGCGGGCUGGCGCCAUUCGCCGUGCGGCACGCGCGGGUCUGCUGGCCCAGCAGCCGGCCGAACGACAGCCGCGCGCCCGGUGGCACACAUCACGUCCCGCCCCAGCCAGCGGGCACAUGCAACGAUCCCGAGGGUGAUCUGUCGGCCAUAAACGACGCGCGUCGGGCGCGUGGGCCGAUCCUCUUCGUGUGCGGUGCCCUACUGUGCGCCGUGGCCUCCCCGCUCGGCGGCCGAAAGGCCUCGCCAGAAGGCGUUGUAGUUUACUGUACGUGUGCGCGCCCGGCCAAAGCUGGGGCUUUUUUAAAAAAAAAUUGUCACAUACAUUAAAUUUCAAAAGAGUUCAUAACUUGACUAAGUCAUGACAGCAGUAACACAUUCAUACAAAUAUAAUAUGUUUCACACAUAAUAAUAUAAAUCGCAUGUCUUCAUAUGAAUCGCAUGUCUUAUAAAAUUGAAUAAGGUGGCAUAAACAUUAACUCAAAGUGCCAUGUCUAUUAUUCUUAAACAAAUAAACUGAAAGUGCUAACGACUUUCAUCGAACAAGGUGGUUUAAACAAUAAACCCAAAGUGCCAUGUAUCUUAUUCUUAAACAAAUAAAAUGAAAUUGCCAGUGCCUUCAAUUGAUUAUGAAUACUUCAUCCUUAUGCCCGGUUCCUACAUAACAAAGUGUAAACAACUCAUCAGACAAUUGUGAAGAGAGAACCAAAAAAUAAUUAAAAUAAUGAAAAACUUACUUUUCAUUCUCAGGGCAAGUUUGCCGUCUAUGGCCCUCUGUCUUACAAAUGCCACAAAGAGGACCGGGUUUUUUCUCAGAAAAUGAUUUUGGUCUUCCAUUUUUUGUAACAUUUGGAUCUUUCUUUGCCCGCCCUGUCCUGCUCUGUUUAGGGGCGCCCUUCGUGGAAACUUUCACGGGAUCACCUAUGACAUCAACAUGUUGUUCCGGCUGACGUGGCUCCUCAUGCACAUUUAUUCUACUACCAACAGCAUCAUCAUCAGGGACCUUUUUUUCGCUAUUAUAUUCUGCAGACACUGCAUCAACUCAUCAUAGACGAAUGGAUCAUUUGAAGCAACAUGAAAAGCUUCAGCUCCUGUUAUACUGAGUUGACUAUAGCGAGCACGCUGCUCUGCCCCUGUCCAACCCCAGCCAAACAAGACACUCUUUCGCUGUGCAGGCAGCCCACCUCUCGUAACUUUCGACAUCCUCUUAAGGAUGCAACACUUCGGUAUUUUAGAUAUUUUGAGAUGAACCAACACAUACAGAAUGUGUUUGCAAGGCAAUCCUUUCCGAAGCAUUCGUCCACAACUGCAGUCUAUCGUAUUCUCAGAGUUUUCAGCUUGAUAAUUCACGCUGAACUGAAAUUUCCGGUUAUUUCUCCAUGUCACGAUGAAAGUGUGGCAGUCAACUCCCACUAGCGUCUCAAAAAUCUCAAGCUCUCCCAUCUUCUUCAGAUCUUGUUGAAGAAUAUAAAAAUUGGAAUGAGUGAAUACUUCGGCGGCAUGCUUCUCAAUAUCCUUAUAUUCUGUGACUGAUGGUGGCAAUGACUGAUUUAAAACACAGUCAUCAUGCGCCUCGUUCUCACGUAGUCGGACUAUGCAAUUCUCAUAAUGCACAACUAGGUCAACGAUAGUCAUACCGCCGUCCAAGUGCAGGACAAGAGUUAAGACUUUCACUCCUCUGAUUACUGCGCAUACCCAGAAAAAAACCAUCUGACAGAUAUGAUGCUGCCCACAGACUCCUUUUCCUGUACAUCCUACUCAGCCACUCUUCUGUUUUAUCAGUCUUCCAUUUACGGACGAAAGCGUGCCAUCUCGCCUCAAAGUUGGCUGGAGAGGUGGAGUAGUACAAGAGUGCCCUGAACUCACUUAGCGAUUUGUAAUUAAGGUGCUUUUGCAUGUUUUUUUCCACGUGCCAUGAGCAGAGAUGGUGCAACACAUCAACCAAAACCAACCGAAUAGCUCGUAUCAUUGCAGCGUCCCCAUCUGUGAUGAUUGACCUUGGCUUUUUCUGACAAUUGGCCUUCAGGAAUGUCUAGAGCAGCCACACGUACGUCGUUUCGGUCUCGUCGGACACAAUGGCGCAACCAAAAACUAUGGUGCAACGGUGAUUGUUUACACCAACAAAGGGGAUGAACGGCAUACCAUAUCUGUUCAUCUUAUACGUGCUGUCGAACAUCAUCACAUCUCCAUACAAUUGAUAGUCCCGUCGCGACUGUGCAUCGCACCAGAACAUGCUCUUCAAACGGCCCUCCUUAUCUUGCACGUACUCAAAGAAAAACUCUGGAUCCUUCUCCUUUCUGCUCCUCAUAAUCCCGAUUGCCGUGUUAGCAUCACCCUUCGCAAUCAACUUCAUUUUUUCACGGCAACAUAGGUUGUACACGUCUCGUCUCAGAAACCCACACUUAUCAUACGAGCCAUACCUGCUAAUGAAGUUGUCAAUGAUGAUAUGCUUUCUGAUCCCAGCUCCUUCCAUCGCCAAGAUCUCAGCUAUCUGGUGAUCUCCCAUCACUCGAUGUGACCGCAAAAAUACCACCUCAUCUGGUCUAGCCAACAAAUGGUUGUGAUCAUCCAUAAAAGCUGCCACGAACCAAACUCCACGUCCUUUGUCCAACUUCACGACUAAAUGUGCGCCACACUCACAACGAGUCUCUGGUCUUAGCCUGCGGGUACGGCCCUCCGGGUUUAAAAAUUUACUGAGACGUUUUCCUGCCCUCGAGCAAACGUAUCUCCUAUACCGAACAGUGGUUGAAAGUCCUUUUCCUCGUUUCACCUUAUCUUUUCUGAUACUGAAUCCACGGUCUUUGGCGUAGUUAUUAUAGAACAUGUGAGCCUCCCAUUGUGAUGCAAAUGUCAUACCCAUAACCUUCAACUGUGUCUCCAGCGCACGUUGCUGGAUUUCAGCUUCCUCAAUGUCCAUAUUAGCUCCAUCCUCAUGAUCAUAUCCAUCUUCACCACUCCAACCAUCAAAGUUAGCCUACAAUAUUCCACAUAAGCAAGUGUAAGUUGUCAUUACCAACUUUUUAUUAUUCAAUGACAUCUUAAAUUUUGGACCGAACCUGGCUUAUGUUAUCCCCGAAAGAUUCAACACCAUGAUUUUCUUCGUUCUGAACGUCAAUAUCCUCCUGCACAUAAAAAAAUCAUAUGCACGUGUAAGUACCAUGUGGUUCUUCAUCCGACGAAAAGAAUGUACACGACACUUACGUUUUCACUACAAGCACCCUCCUCCUUCUUUUCAAAAUCCUCCUCAGAUAAAUUAUCGUACGACGACCAGGAUUCAUUGUCGCUGCCAUCAUCAUCAUCUUUACUAUCAUUACCAUUCGUACGAUCAACACUAUCGCUACCAUCCCACUCACUCGUGUCCAAAAACAGAUCCGUAAAUCCAGUUUCUUUAUCCAUUAAAUGAUCUCUCAACCAACACUGCAAUAUUAUAAUAAAAAUUGAUCUAUCAAUUUUAAAUCAAAUUAAAUGUACUACGAUCAUACAGAUGAGAAAUUCUUAUCUAACAAGUGAUUGCACAUAAUUAUUUACCGAUUCAAUUUUUUUGACAAACUAGAAGGCUUAGAUGGCAUGCACGUGCACUUCGGCCGGCCUAGCGUGGCUGCGGACGGCGAGGACGUUCCCGGAGAGGUUGAUCACGGAUUUGCGGGCGUCGACGGCGUCACGGAGGAGACAUCACGUACGGCGGGUGACUCCAAGAUCUGUCCGCGCCGGCCAGAUCCCGGGUGAAGACGGGGAGAAGGCGGCAAUCGGCCAAACGGGACGACGUUGGAAUUGGCAGCGUGAUCACGGCUAGAUCGGCGGGGAAAGGCGGCUGUCGGCGGGUAAGGGCGGCGAUCGGCGGGGCGGGGCGACGUUGGAAUGGGCCGCGUGAUCAGCGCAGGUCGUGGGUUUUUUUUCGCGCGACGGAGAGAGGGUAGUUGCGAGCCGGCCGUAUCGGCUCGAGCCGUGCGCUCGGCUCUACCUGUAUGGGCAUGCCGCAUACGGCGCGGGAUACGUUAAGCGCCNNNNNNNNNNNNNNNNNNNNNNNNNNNNNNNNNNNNNNNNNNNNNNNNNNNNNNNNNNNNNNNNNNNNNNNNNNNNNNNNNNNNNNNNNNNNNNNNNNNNNNNNNNNNNNNNNNNNNNNNNNNNNNNNNNNNNNNNNNNNNNNNNNNNNNNNNNNNNNNNNNNNNNNNNNNNNNNNNNNNNNNNNNNNNNNNNNNNNNNNNNNNNNNNNNNNNNNNNNNNNNNNNNNNNNNNNNNNNNNNNNNNNNNNNNNNNNNNNNNNNNNNNNNNNNNNNNNNNNNNNNNNNNNNNNNNNNNNNNNNNNNNNNNNNNNNNNNNNNNNNNNNNNNNNNNNNNNNNNNNNNNNNNNNNNNNNNNNNNNNNNNNNNNNNNNNNNNNNNNNNNNNNNNNNNNNNNNNNNNNNNNNNNNNNNNNNNNNNNNNNNNNNNNNNNNNNNNNNNNNNNNNNNNNNNNNNNNNNNNNNNNNNNNNNNNNNNNNNNNNNNNNNNNNNNNNNNNNNNNNNNNNNNNNNNNNNNNNNNNNNNNNNNNNNNNNNNNNNNNNNNNNNNNNNNNNNNNNNNNNNNNNNNNNNNNNNNNNNNNNNNNNNNNNNNNNNNNNNNNNNNNNNNNNNNNNNNNNNNNNNNNNNNNNNNNNNNNNNNNNNNNNNNNNNNNNNNNNNNNNNNNNNNNNNNNNNNNNNNNNNNNNNNNNNNNNNNNNNNNNNNNNNNNNNNNNNNNNNNNNNNNNNNNNNNNNNNNNNNNNNNNNNNNNNNNNNNNNNNNNNNNNNNNNNNNNNNNNNNNNNNNNNNNNNNNNNNNNNNNNNNNNNACAAGUGGACUUUAUUCAACCGAAAUAACAGAUACAUCGUUUGUGAGGAAUGGUACAAUCUCAAUCAUAGGCUCCUCAAAUCAAUCAAUGGUAGAAGAAAAUCUAGCCAACCUAGCAAGCUCGUGCGUAACCUUAUUGGCUUUCCUAUUACAAUGUUCAAACCUAGAGGUAGAAAAAUCACACGUCAAAAAAUAGCAAUCAUCAAAAAUUGCCGCCGGCGCUCCCGCUGACCGUCCGCCAUUAUUCAUCGUUUCAAUAACCUCCAAAUUAUCAGAACUAAUAGUUAGGCGAUUGCAACCCGCACGUUGCGCUAGUGAAAGACCGAAUCUGAGAGCCCAAGCUUCCGCUGUUAGAGCAUCGAUGCAAUGAUCAAUUUUCCAAGUACCCUGCAAUAAAGUGGGUCCCACGCCUGUUUACAGGUUAAUUUACUGUUUCUAUUAUGCCGCGCCUGUUUUCUGCCCUUAUGACAUGCCGCGAACUAUAAACGCAAUUUUAAAGUCCGCGAUAUAAGGGGUCUGCUAGAGAUGCUCUAACACGGAGAGGCAAGCCCCAAGAAAAACAAGCCCGUGCGGUCGGUAGUUCCCUGUUUACGUGUUGCUGUGCUGAUGUUUAGUACCACAUCGGUAUUCCAGGUCGAUACACCGUGGAAUAAAACGUGAAGCCCGGGUGCUGGCAUACACCGUGCGGCAAGCACGGUUACUGCACGAAACCAAUAUACUGUGAUUACCGAUGGCCAGCGCCAACAAUGCGACUGUCAUUGCAGGGGCGCCUUUUGCUUUUCAAAGCCAAAUAAGACUCUUAUACCUCUUAUAUGUAUUAUCCUCCAGCCCACCGCUUGAAUCCCUACUUCCAGCUGACUCUCUAUCAUAAGUUACAUCUCCACACUCUUAAAAAUAUUCAUAAUUUCUUUCUUAUUUUCAUUUUCAUCUUUUUUAUGGAAGUCAUGAACAUUUUCUUAAAAUUAUGAACUUUUCAAGAAGUCAUUUUUUCCAAAUUUGUUUUUUGUUUAUUUUUAAAAAUGGUGAUCCUUUUCCAAAUUCAUGGAGUAAUUACAAUUUCACAACAUUUUUUGUAUUCACUAACUUUUUUGAAUUCGUGAUUUUUUUUUCAAAUUUGCUAAUUCCUUUCAAAUAUGCUCUAGCAGAAGUGCACUAGACGCAAAAUUGAAGCCCCAUACUAGUUAGGUAGGGCGCUGUAGCACGUGCUAGGUUGGGCGCUGUAGCAUGUGUGCAGGGGUGGCGAGACUGGAGCUUCCUCUUUACCUGUUCGUUCCGGCCGGCUACAUCGAUUUGCUUUUGCAAUGACCAGCGUAGUGUCUGGCUUCAGGUAGAAAGGAAGAGAAAAAGAACACGACCGGCCAGCUAGUGUACUGUGCUGCCGUGCGCGUACAUAUUUUAGACGCGAAAAGAAUAAUUUUUUCAAACAAACAAACAAACAAUGGUUUGUCUAAUUCACAUCUAAAUAUUUUUUAAGGAUGUCACAUCUAAGCUUGCAUAAAUAUAUAAUGCAGCAACAAGAGCAAAAAAAUAUUAGGGAAAAAAAUAGACCACAAACAAAGUGAACAUCAGGUUAGAUGUGACAUAACUAUGUCACAUCUAGAUAUGUACUACACAGACCCAACAAACAAACAAGCAAGGACAAACAAAGGGACCAUAAACAGUUGCUUAUAUCAUCUUAGAUGUGACAUAGUUAUGUCACAUCUAGAUGAAUCCUAGACACACCCAAAAAAGAAACCCUUGAGAAUGUCUGACUAACUGAAAUUCUAUGACGCGGGUAGAAGCAAGCAACCGGAGACAUCCCGGCCGUCGAUGCAUAUUGUUGAAGACCCGGAUAACAGAGCUAAGAGCAACUCUACCAGACCCCGCAUCUGUCCCGACACGGAAAAUAACCGUCAAAAUGCGGGUAGGGGCGGAAAAAUCUGCCCGAUCAGACCCCGCAUAUCGCCCCGGCCCGCAAAAAUUUUUAGGUGGCGCGGCAAAAUCUCGGCCCCAACACGCGAAUACGCGGGUUUCCCCGUCACGGCUGCGGUGCCCUGCAUCACAGAGAAGUAGUUGGCGGGAGGGACAUUUCAGCCCGCGCGCAUUUUUCCGACCCCCUUCCGCCGCUGACCGCCCUUGCUUCCGCCCGCCCGCCGCCGGCGAUUCCGCCAAAUCUGCGGGCAGAAAAACGCCGCGGGGCCGCCCACCAUCCUCCCGCGCCGUCACGCUGCACCGACCCCCCGGAUCCAGCGAGAAGAGCGCCGUCAUUGCCGGGGAUCGACCACCAUCGAGCCCGCCCCUCGUCGCCGCCCGAGAUCGCCCGCCGCAUCCUCCACCGGUUAGUGCGUAUUUUGUGAUCUUUGCGAGCGAGCGGUAUAAUUCAUUGACGCGCCGGUAUGCAUGUAGAUGGAUUUGAGCCCGUGACAGAAGUUCUUGCUCACCUAUUCGUUCGAUUCGGACGACUCGGAUGUUGAGACCAUGCUUGCCAACUUUCGGCAGCAGACAUUAGUCAUGGUACUUGCCGUGAAGGAGCACGAAGACGAGAACUGAAAGAGAAGGCGAGGAUCGACCGUCAAGCGUCUUUGCAUUCCUCGAAAUCGUCAUCUUAGGAACGAGAUGUUGAUGCAAGACUACUUCACGGAAAAUCCUACAUAUCCACCACACCUCUUCUGGAGAAGGUACCGAAUGCGCCGAUCUCUUUUUGUGAAAAUUGUUCAAGCUUGUGAGGCAAAUUGCCAGUAUUUUACUCAAAGAAGAAAUGUUGCGGGCUUAAAGGGAUUUAGUGCAUAUCAAAAAAUCUCCGCAGCUAUGCGGAUGAUUGCAUAUGGCGUUCCGGCUGACUAUGUCGAUGAGUACUGAUGACCCACAAGUUUAGGGGAUCUAUCGUAGUCCUUUCGAUAAUUAAGAGUAUCGAACCCAACGAGGAGCAGAAGGAAAUGAUAAGCGGUUUUCAGUAAGGUUUUCUCUGCAAGCACUGAAAUUGUAGGUAAUAGAUAGUUUUGUGAUAAGAUAAAUAGUAACGAGUAACAAGUAAAUAAAGUAAAUAAAGUGCAGCAAGGUGGCCCAAUCCUUUAUGUAGCAAAGGAUAAGCCUGUACAAUUUCUAAUAAUGAGAAAGGAGCUCCCGAGGACACAUGAGAAUUAUCGUCAAGCUAGUUUUCAUCACAUUUAUAUGAUUCGCGUUCGGUACUUUGAUAAUUUGAUAUGUGGGUGGACCGGUGCUUGGGUACUUCCCUUAUUUGGACAAGCAUCCCACUUAUGAUUAACCCCUAUUGCAAGCGUCCGCAACUACAAAAGAAGUAUUAAGGUAAACCUAACCACAACAUUAAACAUAUGGAUCCAUGUCAGUCCCUAACAAAGCAACACAUAAACUAGGGUUUAACCUUCUGUCACUCUAGCAACCCAUCAUCUACUUAUUACUUCCCCAUGCCUUCCUCUAGGCCCAAAUAAUGGUGAAGUGUCAUGUAGUCGACGUUCACAUAACACCACUAGAGGAAAAGACAACAUACAUCUCAUCAAAAUAUCGAACGAAUACCAAAUUCACAUGACUACUAAUAGCAAGACUUCACCCAUGUCCUCAGGAACAAACGUAACUACUCACAAAGUAUAUUCAUGUUCAUAAUCAGAGGAGUAAUAAUAUGCAUAAAGGAUCUGACAUAUGAUUUUACACCAAGUAAACCAAUUAACAUCAACUACAAGGAGUAAUCAACACUACUAGCAACCCACAGGUACCAAUUUGUGGUUUUGAUACAAGAUUAGAUACAAGAGAUGAACUAGGGUUUUGAGAGAGAUGGUGCUGGUGAACAUAUUGAAGGAGAUUGACCCCCUCCUGAUGAGAGGAUCGUUGGUGAUGACGUUGGUGGUGAUUUCCCCCUCCCGGAGGGAAGUGUACCCGGCAGAACAGCUCCGCCGGAGCCCUAGAUUGAUUCCAUCAAGGUUCCACCUCGUAGCGGCGGAGUUUCUUCCCGUAAGCUUGCCCACGAUUUUUUCCAUGGUAAAAGCUCUAAUAUAGCAGAAGAUGGACACCGGGGGCCCAUCAGGAGGCCCAGGAGAUAGGGGGCGUGCCCUCCACUCUCCUGGGCAGGGUAUGGGGCCCCUGGUGUAUUUCUUUCGCUCAAUAGUUUUUAUAAAUUCCAAAAACAUGUUUCGUGGAGUUUUAGGAUUUUUGGAGCAGUGCAGAAUAGGUUUUCAAUGUUUGCUCCUUUUCCAGACAGAAUUCCAGCUGCCGGUAUUCCCCCUCUUCAUGGUAAACCUUGUAAAAUAAGAGAGAAUAGCCAUAAGUAUUGAGAUAUAAUGUGUAAUAACAGCUGAUAAUGCAAUAAAUAUUGAUAUAAAAGCAUGAUGCAAAAUGGACGUAUCAACUCCCCCAAGCUUAGACCUCGCUUGUCCUCAAGCGGAAGCCAAUAUCGAAAAAUAUGUCCACAUGUUUAGAGAUAGAGGUGUCGAUAAAAAUAAAAUACGGAGAUGAGGGCAUCAUGAUCAUUCUUAUAACAACAACAUAUAUAGAUUUUAUCAUAUGAUUUCUUAUGCUCAAGUAACAAUCGAUUCACAAUGUCAAGUAUGGUUCAAAAACUUCAUUGGGAACUAAUAAACUAUAAUCUCAGUCAUUGAAGCAAUUGCAAUUUAUCAUAACAUUAGAAAGAGUCAACAAUAGAGAUUUUCAGCAAGUUCACAUACUCAACUAUCUUGUAGCCUUCUACAAUUGCUAACAUUCACGCAAUACUUGUGGUUAUGGAGUUUCAGCCGGACACUGAGAAAGAUAGGGGCUUAUUGUGUUGCCUCCCAACGUAUUCACUUUUAGGUGAUGUCAACAAUAAUAGCCCAUGCUAACUUACAUCCAAUUGGAUAUAUAUAUCAUGAUCUUUCAAACACGAGGAGCUUGCCAAAGGAUAAAAUGAAAAAGGGAAAGGUGAGAAUCACCUUGACUCAAGCAUAAAGUAAAAACAUAAAGUAAAAGAUAGGCUCUUCGCAGAGGGAAGCAGAGGUUGUCAUGUGCGUUUAGGGUUGAUGCACAAAAUCUUAAUGCAAAAGAACGUCACUUUAUAUUUCCCCUUGUAUGUGGACCUUUAUUAUGCAGUCCGACGCUUUUAUUACUUUCACAAAAAGAUCGUACAAAUCUUAUUUUCUCUGCACUAAUAAGUCAUACAUAUUUAGAUAGCAUUUUUUAUUGCUUGCAACAUGACAACUUACUUGAAGGAUCUUACUCAAUCCAUAGGUAGAUAUGGUGGACUCUCAUGGCAAAACUGGGUUUAAGGAUAUUUGGAAGCACAAGUAGUAUCUCUACUUGGUGCAAGGAAUUUGUCUAGCAUGAGGAGGAAAGGCAAGCUCAACAUGUUUGGAUGGUCAAUGACAAUAUACUUUAACUGAGAUGUCGGAAAACAUAAACCAUUACGCUGUCUUCCUUGUCCAACGUCGACUCUUUUAGCAUGUCAUACUUAAUGAGUGCUCCCAAUUAUAAAAGGUGUCCAAGAUAAUAUAUUUGUAUGUGAACCCCUCUUUCCUUAUCACUUCCUAUUAAUUGCAACGAUGACCAAAACUACGUUCAUCAACUCUCAACAAUUUUUAUGCCUCAUACUUUCUAUGUGUGAAGUCAUCACUAUUCAUAAGAUCAAUGUGAACCCUUUUAUUCUUUCUACUUUCUAAAGAUCAUAGCAACAUAGCAAAGCCCUUGACUCAACACUAAUCUUUAUUAUAGAUGACUCACGGACUCGAUUACAAAAAGAGAUCACAAUGCAAAAACUCAAAACUACUUGUUAUCAAAACUUCAAUCUACUAGAUCAAGAUACUACUAAAAGGAUCGAACUAAAUAAAACGGUAAAGAUAGGAGUGUGAUGGUGAUACGAUACCGGGGCACCUCCCCCAAGCUUGGCAGUUGCCAAGGGGAAUGCCCAUACCCAUGUGAUUAUGUCCUCGGAGGUGGUGAAGUAGGAGUUGUUGAUGAUGUAGGCUUGUCGUCCGUCUUCCAAGGCAUAGGCUCUCCAUCAUAGAAAGAUGAUCGAGUCUCCGGGAUCCUUAAAUCUGCAGCCAAACUCAUCCCCUUGAAUCUAUAUUCAUACUCACAGUUCUGGUUUUGCAGGUCAUAUAUCUGGGCUUGGAGGUGCUCGAUUUUCUCUUGAAUCUUGAAGAUGGUCUCUCCAAUGACCUUGGCAUCUAACUUGUGGUUGUUGGUGAACUCCGUGAUCAUCAUCUGGUUGGCGUUGAGUCCACGCUCCACCAUCCCUUGGCACUUGAAAACUUGCUGCUCCACGGCUUCGAGCUUUGUCUCCACGCUUCCGGUACGCCUUGGUCCCUCCACAUCGCGGAUGUGCAGCACCCCCUCACGCAUCUCAACGGUUUGAGGGUGUUGCAGCACCUCCGCGAGAUAGGGGUUGAUAACCCUCUCGAAAAACUUGUCCUUGGGAGCGCUUGGAGACGACAUGAUGCUCUAGAUCUGAAACAGAAACAACUUGAAACGAAAACAGAGGAUAUUUGCGUGACACGAUGGUCAAAACCUUCGGGGGUAUAUAUAAUGAAUUUUUACUGACCAAAAUACAUAAUGUGCAAGAAAACGGAGUCCGGGAGGCACACGAGGUGUCCACGAGACAGGGGGCGCACCCAGUAGGGGGGCGCCCUCCACUCUCGUGGAGGCCUCGUGUCCCUUUCGGACUACUUCUUUCUUCCGAAAAUUCUUAAAUAUUGGAGUUGUUUUGGAGUCGUUUUACUUACCGUACCACAUACCUAUUACUUUUCGGAGUCUGGAACGUUCUGGAAAGUCCCUUAUGUAUUCCUCCGGGGUUACGGUUUCAAUAAUAUUAGUUUCAAUAUUGAUAGGAUUACCUGAAAUAUAAUGUUUAAUUCUUUGAUCGUUUACCACCCUCGAACUUGUGCCUUCGAAGUUGUUGAUUUUUAUGGCACCAGAACGGUAGACCUCCUCGAUAACGUAAGGACCUACCCAUUUUGAGAGAAAUUUUCCUGCAAAAAAUCUUAAACGAGAGUUGAAUAAUAAAACAUAAUCUCCUACGUUAAACUCACACUUUUGUAUCCUUUUGUCAUGCCAGCGUUUGAAUUUUUAUUUAAAUAGCUUGGCAUUCUCAUAGGCUUGGGUUCUCCAUUCAUCAAGUGAGCUAACAUCAAACAAUCUCUUCUCACCGGCAAGUUUGAAGUCAUAGUUGAGCUCUUUAAUAGCCCAAUAUGCUUUAUGUUCAAGUUCAAGAGGUAAAUGACACGCUUUUCCAUAAACCAUCUUAUAUGGAGACAUACCCAUAGGAUUUUUGUAUGCAGUUCUAUAGGCCCAUAAUGCAUCAUCAAGUUUUUUCGACCAAUUCUUUCUAUAUCUAUUCACAGUCUUUUGCAGAAUUAAUUUGAGCUCUCUAUUGCUCAACUCUACUUGACCACUAGACUGCGGAUGAUAAGAAGAUGCGAUUCUAUGAUUGACAUCAUACUUAGCAAGCAUCUUACGGAAAGCACCAUGAAUAAAAUGUGAGCCACCAUCAGUCAUAAGAUAUCUAGGGACUCCAAACCUCGGAAAAAUAACUUCUUUAAGCAUUUUAAUAGAAGUGUUAUGAUCAACACUACUAGUUGGAAUAGCUUCUACCCACUUAGUAACGUAAUCAACAGCAACUAAAAUAUGUGUAUAACCAUUAGAGGCAGGAAAAGGUCCCAUAUAAUCAAAGCCCCAAACAUCAAACGGUUCAAUAACAAGAGAAUAAUUCAUAGGCAUUUCUUGACAUCUACUAAUGUUACCUAUUCUUUGACAUUCAUCACAAGAUAAUACAAACUUACGAGCAUCUUUGAAGAGAGUAGGCCAAUAAAAACCAGAUUGUAGUACCUUGUGUGCAGUUCUAUCUCCAGCAUGGUGUCCUCCAUAGGAUUCAGAGUGACACUUGCGUAGGAUCUAUUCCUGUUCAUGCUCAGGCACACAACGUCUAAUAACACCAUCUACUCCUUCUUUAUAAAGGUGCGGGUCAUCCCAGAAGUAAUUUCUUAAAUCAUAAAAGAACUUUUUCUUUUGCUGGUAUGUGAAACUAGGCAGUAUAAAUUUAGCAACAAUGUAAUUAGCAUAAUCAGCAUACCAAGGAGCAGUAUGAGAAGCAUUAACGACCGCUAAUUGUUCAUCAGGAAAGCUAUCAUCAAUAGGCAGUGGGUCAUCAAGAAUAUUCUCUAACCUAGACAAGUUGUCUGCAACAGGGUUCUCAGCUCCCUUUCUAUCAAUAAUAUGCAAGUCAAAUUCUUGGAGCAAGAGAACCCGUCUAAUGAGUCUAGGCUUAGCAUCUUUCUUUUCCAUAAGAUAUUUAAUAGCAGCAUGAUCAGUGUGAAUAGUAACUUUGGAAUCAACAAUAUAAGGUUUAAAUUUAUCACAUGCAAACACUACUGCUAAGAAUUCUUUUUCAGUAGUAGCAUAAUUUCUCUGGGCAGUAUCAAGAGUCUUACUAGCAUACUGGAUAACAUUCAAUUUCUUAUCGACUCUUUGCCCUAGAACAACACCUACAGCAUAGUCGCUAGCAUCACACAUAGUUUCAAAAGGUAAAUUCCAAUCAGGUGGCUGAACAAUAGGUGCAGUGAUCAAAGCUUUCUUAAGUAUUUCAAAUGCUUCUACACAAUCAUCACCAAAGACAAAAGGAAUAUCUUUUUGCAAUAAAUUAGUCAGAGGCCUAGAGAUUUUAUAAAAGUCCUUAAUGAACCUCCUAUAAAAACCGCUAUGGCCAAGGAAACUUCUUAUACCUUUUAUGUCCUUGGGACAGGCAUCUUUUCAAUAGCAUCAACCUUGGCUUUGUCAACUUCAAUACCUCUCUCGGAAAUCUUAUGCCCCAAGACAAUGCCUUCAUUAACCAUAAAGUGACACUUUUCCCAAUUCAGGACGAGACUAGUGUCUUCGCAUCUCUGCAAAACUCGAUCAAGGUUGCUCAAACAAUCAUCAAAAGAGGAUCCAUAAACGAAAAAGUCAUCCAUGAAUACCUCACAAAUCUUUUCACAAAAAUCAGAGAAUAUAGCCAUCAUGCAUCUUUGAAAGGUAGCAGGUGCAUUACAUAACCCAAAAGGCAUACGUCUAUAAGCAAAAGUACCAAAAGGGCAAGUAAAAGUAGUCUUAGAUUGAUCCUUCGCUGACACAGGUGUUUGAGAGAAACCAGAAUAACCAUCUAGAAAGCAAUAGUUUGUAUGUUUGCAUAAUCUUUCUAGCAUUUGAUCAAUAAAAGGUAAGGGGUAAUGAUCUUUCUUAGUAGCUUUAUUUAAUUUGUGGAAAUCAAUUACCAUCCUAUAACCUGUGAUAAUUCUUUGCGGAAUCAAUUCAUCUUUAUCAUUAGGGACAAUAGUAAUACCUCCCUUCUUAGGGACACAAUGGACAGGACUUACCCAUUGACUGUCAGCAACGAGAUAAAUGAUACCUGCCUCCAGAAGCUUGAGUAUUUCUUUUCUUACCACUUCUUUCAUCUUGGGAUUUAGUCGUCUUUGAGGAUCUCUAACUGGCUUGGCAUCUUUGUCCACUGUAAUUUUGUGUUGACAUAAUGUGGGACAAAUGCCCUUGAGAUCAUCCAGAGUAUAUCCAAUAGCUGCUCGGUGCUUCUUCAGAGUUUUCAAUAAUCUUUCUUCUUCUUUCUCUGAAACGUUAGCACUAAUAAUAAUAGGAUAUAUUUCCUUUUCAUCAAGAUAAGCAUACUUAAGAUUAUCAGGUAAUGGUUUGAGUUCAAACACGGGAUCACCCUUGGGUGGAGGGGGGUCCCCAAGAAUUUCAACGAGAAGGUUAUGUUUCAGCAUAGGUUCCUGUUUAAGGAACACUUCAUCUAUUUCCCUUCUCUCCUUCAUAAACAUCUCGUUUUCAUGGUCUAGCAAGUAUUGUUCUAAUGGAUCAGUAGGAGGCACAACAAUGGAAGCAAGACCAAUAAUUUCAUCCUUACUAGGUGGUUCCCUAUCACGAGGUUGUCUACGAAACUUAGCAAAAUUAAACUCAUGAGACAUACCAUCUAUGCCAACGGUGAGAGUAUCUUUUUCACAAUCAAUCUUAGCACUAGCUGUAUUCAAGAAGGGUCUACCAAAAAUAAUGGGACAAAAAUCAUCUUGUGGGGAACCAAGAACAAGAAAAUCAGCAGGGUAUUUAACCUUCCCACACAAAACUUCAACAUCUCUAACAAUCCCAAAGGGUUUAAUGGUAUCCCUAUUAGCAAGCUUAAUAGUAACAUCAAUGUCUUCUAAUUCAAUGGUUGCAAUGUCAUGCAUAAUUUCUUGAUAUAAGGUAUAAGGUAUUGCACUAGCACUAGCACCCAUAUCACAUAAGCCAUGAUAACCAUGAUCUCCUAUUUCAACAGAAAUAACAGGCAUGCCUAUGACAGGUCUAUGUAUCUUAGUGUCUGGUCUAGCAAUAUUAGCAGUCUCACCACAGAAAUAAAUAACAUGCCCAUCUAAAUCAUCAUCCAAGAGAUCUUUAACCAUAGCAAUACUAGGUUCAACAUUAAUUUGUUCAGGAGGUGUAUAAGUCCUAGUAUUACUCUUACGAACAACAGUCGAAGCUUUAGCAUGAUCUUUUACCCUAACAGGAAAUGGAGGUUUCUCAACAUAAGUAGUAGGAACAAUAGGAUCACUAUAGGUGAUAGUCUUUUCUUCAACUGUAAUAGGUGCAACUACUUUCACUUCAAUAGAAGGAUUAUAUUUAAACCACUUCUCUUUAGGGAGAUCAACAUGAGUAGCAAAAGAUUCAUAGAAAGAAGCUACUAUCUCAGAGUCAAGUCCAUACUUAGUUCUAAAUCCACGAAAAGCAUCGGUAUCCAUAAAAGAUUUAACACAAUCGAACUUAGGUGUCAUACCUGACUCCUUACCAUUGUUGGAACCCCAAUCUUCCGAGUUGCGUUUAAUUCUUUCCAAUAAGUCCCAUUUGAAAUCAAUAGUCUCCAGCAUAUAAGAACCAGCACAGAAAGUAUCGAGCAGGUUGCGAUUAUCAAGAGAAAGCCGAGCAUAAAAGUUCUGAAUAAUCAUUUCCCGAGAGAGCUCAUGAUUGGGGAAUGAAUAUAACAUUGACUUAAGCCUCACCCAAGCUUGAGCGAUGCUUUCUCCUUCGCGAGGCCAGAAAUUAUAUAUGUAAUUAUGAUCACGAUGAACAAGAUGCAUAGGAUAGAACUUAUGGUGAAAUUCCAACUUCAAUCGCUUAUAAUUCCAAGAUCUCGUAUCAUCACAUAGCCUAUACCAUGUCAAUGCAUCUCCCUUCAAAGAUAAAGAGAAGACCUUCCUUUUGACAGCAUCAUCGGGAAUAUCUGCAAGCUUAAAUAAUCCACAAACUUCAUCCACAAACAUAAGGUGUAAAUCAGGAUGCAAUGUUCCAUCUCCUGUAAAUGUAUUAGCUAGCAGUUUCUCUAUCAUACCCAAAGGAAUCUCACAAUAAAUAUUUUCAUAAAGUUCAGUAGGUUGAGGAGCAACUCUUUGCUCUUCUGGUUGGGGUGAAGAUACCCCGAACAAGCCCCUCAAAGGAUUAGUUUCCAUAGUGACAAGUAACAGAAAAUUUCAGCACACUAUAUAAAUGUUUCCUUACCAAGUUCCACUCACCAAAAGCGCUACACCCCCGGCAACGGCGCCAGAAAAGAGUCUUGAUGACCCACAAGUGUAGGGGAUCUAUCGCAGUCCUUUCGAUAAGUAAGAGUGUCGAACCCAACAAGGAGCAGAAGGAAAUGAUAAGCGGUUUUCAGUAAGGUUUUCUCUGCAAGCACUGAAAUUGUAGGUAAUAGAUAGUUUUGUGAUAAGAUAAAUAGUAACGAGUAACAAGUAAAUAAAGUAAAUAAAGUGCAGCAAGGUGGCCCAAUCCUUUAUGCAGCAAAGGAUAAGCCUGUACAAUUUCUAAUAAUGAGAAAGGAGCUCCCGAGGACACAUGGGAAUUAUCGUCAAGCUAGUUUUCAUCACGUUCAUAUGAUUCGCGUUUGGUACUUUGAUAAUUUGAUAUGUGGGUGGACUGGUGCUUGGGUACUACCCUUACUUGUACAAGCAUCCCACUUAUGAUUAACACAUAUUGCAAGCGUCCGCAGCUAUAAAAGAAGUAUUAAGGUAAACCUAACCACAACAUUAAACAUAUGGAUCCAUAUCAGCCCCUAACGAAGCAACACAUAAACUAGGGUUUAAGCUUCUGUCACUCUAGCAACCCAUCAUCUACUUAUUACUUCCCCAUGCCUUCCUCUAGGCCCAAAUAAUGGUGAAGUAUCAUGUAGUGGACGUUCACAUAACACCACUAGAGGAAAAGACAACAUACAUCUCAUCAAAAUAUCGAACGAAUACCAAAUUCACAUGACUACUAAUAGCAAGACUUCACCCAUGUCCUCAGGAACAAACAUAACUACUCACAAAGCAUAUUCAUGUUCAUAAUCAGAGGAGUAAUAAUAUGCAUAAAGGAUCUGAACAUAUGAUCUUCCACCAAGUAAACCAAUUAGCAUCAACUACAAGGAGUAAUCAACACUACUAGCAACCCACAGGUACCAAUUUGUGGUUUUGAUACAAGAUUGGAUACAAGAGAUGAACUAGGGUUUUGAGAGGAGAUGGUGCUGGUGAAGAUGUUGAUGGAGAUUGACCCCCUCCCGAUGAGAGGAUCGUUGGUGAUGAUUUCCCCCUCUCGGAGGGAAGUGUCCCCGGCAGAAUAGCUCCGCCGGAGCCCUAGAUUGAUUCCGCCAAGGUUCCACCUCGUGGCGGCUGAGUUUCGUCCCGUAAGCUUGCCCACGAUUUUUUUCAGGGUAAAAGCUCUAAUAUAGCAGAAGAUGGACACCGGAGGCCCACCAUGGGGCCCAGGAGAUAGGGGGCGCGCCCAGUAGGGGGGGGGCCUCCACUCUCCUGGACAGGGUGUGGGCCCCUUGGUGUAUUUCUUUCGCUCAAUAAUUUUUAUAAAUGCCAAAAACAUGUUUCGUGGAGUUUCAAGAUUUUUGGAGUAGUGCAGAAUAGAUUUUCAAUGUUUGCUCCUUUUCCAGCCAGAAUUCCAGCUGCCAGUAUUCCCCCUCUUCAUGGUAAACCUUGUAAAAUAAGAGAGAAUAGCCAUAAGUAUUGAGAUAUAAUGUGUAAUAACAGCUGAUAAUGCAAUAAAUAUUGAUAUAAAAGCAUGAUGCAAAAUGAACGUAUCAAGUACCUUCGCAUUGGUGAAGAUACUACAAUUGAGUCCGUGCAUAGAUUUGCAAAAAUGAUCAUCCGUGUCUUUGGUCAUGAGUAUCUUCAGGCACCCAACAAGGAUGACACAAAGAAAUUGAUGGCAUCUAAUGAGAGGAGAGGUUGGCCUGGCAUGCUAGGUAACAUUGAUUGUAUGCAUUGGACAUGGAAAAAUUGCCCGAAGGCAUGGCAAAGAAUGUAUUGUGGCAAGUCUCGUGAUGCAACAAUUGUGCUAGAGGCCAUAGCAUCCGAGGAUUAUGGAUUUGGCAUUGCUUCUUUGGUAUGCGGAACACUCUCAAUGAUAUCAAUGUGUUGCAACGGUCUCAUUUGUUUGCUAGGCUUGGUAGUGGUGAUGCUCCUGUUUGCAACUACACUAUCAAUGGGCAUGAAUACACAAAAGGGUGCUAUCUUGCAUAUGGUAUAUACCCUCCUUGGUGCACAUUUGUCAAGAGCAUCAAAGAAGCCAAAACUAAAAAACAGUGUGAAUUUGCAAGGGUGCAAGAGGCAGCCCGAAAAGACAUUGAAAGAGCAUUCGGUGUUUUGCAAUCUAGGUUUGCCAUUGUCCGUGGUCCUGCUCGUUUUUGGGAUAAGAAAACCUUAAAAAAUAUCAUGACAUGUUGUGUUAUCCUUCACAAUAUGAUUCUUGAAGAUGAGAGAGGAAUGAACUUGAAAUUCUUCUACGACAAUGUGGGUAGCCGUGUCAAACCAGCUAGAGACCCUAACCGCAUUAGAGCUUUUCGUCAGACAUGCAAGGAGAUUGAAAAUGCAGACACACAUUUUCAACUUCAGGAGGAUCUCAUUGAGCACCAUUGGCAAAGGGCUGGACAGUGACUCCUUUUUGUAUUCAUUUGUAUUUGUACUCAUCACAAAUUUUGUAUUGCAUUAUUUAAGAUCUAAAUAAUUAUUUGUAAUGUGGAUGAUUGUUGUAUUGUGUUGAAUUUGAAUAAUUAUUUAGUUUGCUUCUGUUUGUUGUAUUAUGCUGGAUUUGAUAUAUUUUUGCGGGCCGAUGAGAUGUGAAAAGCAGUGGUGCAAGAGCAGACACCGUAAAGCCGACCUGUAUAAAAGCAUAUUCGGUGAAUAUACUUUUAUAAAGGUUCGUUUGGGGGUCCUACAUCUGCGGCCGUCCUUGCCGGCCCGUAAAAGCCGUUUUCCGCGAACUGCAAACGCGUUUUGCGGGCCAGCGAGAUGUGGGGUCUGCUAGAGUUGUUCUAAUAACGACACAUAUAGGGUUUCAGUGAACACCUCGCGGCAUUUAGAGAAACGCACCUACCUCUCCGGUAGGCAACUCACGACGGAGCAGGAUCUGCACCUGGCUCAGGCAACUCGUGACGGAGUAGGACGAAGACACUAACAAAACUCAGACGAAAAAGAAAGGGAAACGCACGCAUCAGCACGGGAUGGACAAUAGGGAUGCAAAUUUGAAAAUUUUAGGUACCCUCCGACCUACUUAGUUCAACCAAUUGUGCUCAAUAACUCUUAAAGGUGAUGUGAAUUAUGAAAAAAAAUUGUUCAGUUAGUUGAACUAAAUAGGACCAGAGGGUACCUGAAUAUUCAAAUUUGCAUCCCUAAUGGUAAUGGACAUAGCACUACCAUAAGGGCGAUCGGACGGGCUGACGAUCUAACAUGAAGGCAAGCGCCAAGGAAAACAAGCCCGUGCGGACGGUGGUUCCCUGUUUACGUGUUGCUGCGCUGAUGUUUAGUACCACAUCGCUAUUCCAGGUCGAUACACCGUGGAAUAAAACGUGAAGCCCGGGUGCUGGUAUACACCGUGCGGCAAGCACGGUUACUGCACGAAACCAAUAUACGAUUACCAACGGCCAGCGCCAACAAUGCGACAGGUAUGAAUUCGGCUGUCUGCCUUCAGCAGCAGUACAAUACACGCCCCAUCAACACAUCACAACAAAAUCUUGAGAGCUAACGAAUAAAUAGUAUUCUGUCAUUGCAGGGGCGCCUUUUGUUUUUUUCAAAACCAAAUAAGAUCUUAUUUGGCCGAGCCUUCUUUUUUACGUAGGUGAUCAAACCACAGAAUCGUUAGUUUGUUAUAUGCCGUGCACUUAUCAUGCCCCUCUGUAUCGUAAUAUAUGUCGCUGAGUACAACCUUGUAGGUAUAUUUGAAGUUGGAGCAUACGUUUAUUAAUCUAUAUAUAAAGUUUAUAUACAAAAUUCUGAAGCUCCCUGCAAGUACAAAAUCCUGAAAGUGCAUGGAAUGCGGGUGAAAAUCAAGUAUCUUUGGAAAAUGGGACCGGCCUGGCGCCUCAGGCAGAUAAGAAUAAGUGCCCCGCAAAAAGAAGAUAAGAAUAAGUGGGCUUUAGUAUGAACAAGAACUUCGUGAGGUCCAGAGAGCACGGGUGUCAGCAUUUUAUUAAUGAAAUACAAUACUGAAUGGCAAGUGCUCUUUCUUGUUUAGAUCCUAUUUUGAUCGAAACUUUCCGCAUUGAUCCUUUUUUGUUAUCUCUUGUUUCCCCGGACGUAACUAGCUCUGUUUUUGCGGUCUCAGAAGGAGAAGCCCCGAACGCUUGCAAUCGCUUUUUUCUCUUAAUUUCUUUCCUUCUAAGCAAGCCUCUAAAGAAUCGGACUCUAAGGCCUUACAAUGGGAAGUGUUUAGAGAGGUGAUUAAAAAAAUAAACCGAGUUUUUCUGAAGCAUCGGUGCCUAUUUCUACAGGAGAGACGCUUAACUAAGCGUCUCUCCUGUAGAAAUAGGCACCGAUGCUUAAGAAAAGCCUGGUUUAUUUCUUUAAGCACCUGUCCUAAGCACCUCCCAUUGUACAAGGCCUAAGAGUCUGUUCGGCAGCCCUCCGCUCCUGGAGCAGAGCGGCCCCAGCCUAUUUUCUCGGAGUCGCCGAAGCGUCGCUCCAUGCGUUCCAGCCAAUUUUCUCGGAGUCGCAGAGCUGGAUGAUUGCCGAACAGGGCCCAAGUAUCCCACUGAUUAGAUUACUUUGCUUUGGGUGCAAGCGGCAUCCAGCUUCCUCCCUUUAACACUACAUCUGCACCACGGUAUCAUCGGCCAUGCCCACCGCCUGCAUCCCUACUUCCAGCUGACUCUCUAUUAUAAGUACAUCGGGCAUGAGCAGCCAUCAGCACGUAUUUCUACAUUGCAGCAUAUCUCUGGUCUUCAGAGUAGCUGAGGCAAUUAAGUGAAAAUACAAAAGGCCAUCCCAGCACACAUUUCAAGUCAAACAUUCAUGGUCAUUCACAUCAAGUGCAUACUGCAUAGGCAGUCUAGAGUUUUGAACCAUACAACAGAACUAGUCAUUACAGAGCAUAUCAGGGACGCAUUCUUGUAUAUCAGGAUCAAACGAUAACACGGACACAAUGCCGUUGCCCCAGCAACCUGCUUCUGGUAUUAGUGUAACAGCAUAGAAUGUGAGGCCCGGAGGACGCGCCAAAUCCAUGUAUGCGAUUCAUCUCUUCUUAAAACCAUACUUCUUGCGCUCGUAGAAGAGAUCGGUCUUGGCGCUUCCUAGGUUGACAAUCUUGGGGCACCCAUCUCGGUCCUUCUCCUGCUGCGUGCACUCUUUGCAGUAGUAGGCGUCUGAGAUGCCAACUCCGCC
This 31877-nucleotide long non-coding RNA is filed under the name Triticum aestivum (bread wheat). RNAcentral describes it as "long non-coding RNA (TAES_LNC016582)". The record is from RNAcentral. Lineage: Eukaryota; Viridiplantae; Streptophyta; Magnoliopsida; Poales; Poaceae.